AGUGAACGCUGGCGGUAGGCCUAACACAUGCAAGUCGAACGGAAGCACAGUAAGAGCUUGCUCUUACGGGUGGCGAGUGGCGGACGGGUGAGGAAUACAUCGGAAUCUACUUUUUCGUGGGGGAUAACGUAGGGAAACUUACGCUAAUACCGCAUACGAUCUACGGGUGAAAGCAGGGGAUAUUCGGACCUUGCGCGAUUGAAUGAGCCGAUGUCGGAUUAGCUAGUUGGCGGGGUAAAGGCCCACCAAGGCGACGAUCCGUAGCUGGUCUGAGAGGAUGAUCAGCCACACUGGAACUGAGACACGGUCCAGACUCCUACGGGAGGCAGCAGUGGGGAAUAUUGGACAAUGGGCGCAAGCCUGAUCCAGCCAUACCGCGUGAGUGAAGAAGGCCUUCGGGUUGUAAAGCCCUUUUGUUGGGAAAGAAAAGCAGCAGGUUAAUACCCCGCUGUUCUGACGGUACCCAAAGAAUAAGCACCGGCUAACUUCGUG
This 492-nucleotide ribosomal RNA is filed under the name uncultured bacterium. Its description in RNAcentral is "partial 16S ribosomal RNA". It matches the Rfam family "Bacterial small subunit ribosomal RNA", at positions 29 to 507 of the family's 1533-position model. The record is from RNAcentral.